This 502-nucleotide ribosomal RNA is filed under the name uncultured Glomeromycotina. RNAcentral's name for it is "partial small subunit ribosomal RNA". It matches the Rfam family "Eukaryotic small subunit ribosomal RNA", at positions 591 to 1092 of the family's 1831-position model. Lineage: Eukaryota; Fungi; Glomeromycota. The record is from RNAcentral.
CCAAUAGCGUAUAUUAAAGUUGUUGCAGUUAAAAAGCUCGUAGUUGAAUUUCGGGGUUCAUACGUUGGUCGGGCUUUUUGGUCUGUACUAGCGUAAUGGAUUCCUGCCUUCUGAAUAACCGGCAUGCCAUUAAUUUGGUGCGCCGGGGAAGCAGGACUGUUACCUUGAAAAAAUUAGAGUGCUUAAAGCAGGCUAUCGCCUGAAUACAUUAGCAUGGAAUAAGGAAAUAGGACGGCAUGGUUCUAUUUUGUUGGUUUCUAGGAUCACCGUAAUGAUUAAUAGGAAUAGUUGGGGGCAUUAGUAUUCAAUUGUCAGAGGUGAAAUUCUUGGAUUUAUUGAAGACUAACUUCUGCGAAAGCAUUUGCCAAGGAUGUUUUCAUUAAUCAAGAACGAAAGUUAGGGGAUCGAAGACGAUCAGAUACCGUCGUAGUCUUAACCAUAAACUAUGCCGACUAGGGAUCGGACGAUGUUAAUUUUUUAAUGACUCGUUCGGCGCCUUACG